UACGGGGGGGGCAAGCGUUGUUCGGAAUUACUGGGCGUAAAGGGCUCGUAGGUGGCCAACUAAGUCAGACGUGAAAUCCCUCAGCUUAACUGGGGAACUGCGUCUGAUACUGGAUGGCUUGAGUUUGGGAGAGGGAUGCGGAAUUCCAGGUGUAGCGGUGAAAUGCGUAGAUAUCUGGAGGAACACCGGUGGCGAAGGCGACAUCCUGGACCACGACUGACGCUGAGGAGCGAAAGCCAGGGGAGCAAACGGG
Molecule: ribosomal RNA, 253 nt
Filed under: uncultured bacterium
Lineage: Bacteria
Description: partial 16S ribosomal RNA
Rfam family: Bacterial small subunit ribosomal RNA
Source: RNAcentral